GCAUAUGAAGCAAAAUUAUUUGCCUUCAAUUUCGACCUGAAAAUAGGAUAUUCCCAUUUGCA
Molecule: transfer RNA, 62 nt
Filed under: Macrocheles nataliae
Lineage: Eukaryota; Metazoa; Arthropoda; Arachnida; Mesostigmata; Macrochelidae
Description: tRNA-Arg
Source: RNAcentral